Long non-coding RNA from Cyprinus carpio (common carp), 336 nucleotides. RefSeq lists it as uncharacterized. The record is from RefSeq and is a predicted model, not a curated record. The transcript is spliced from 3 exons. NCBI's taxonomy places the organism in Eukaryota, Metazoa, Chordata, Actinopteri, Cypriniformes, Cyprinidae.
UUUUUUUUUUUUAAGGCUGAAGUAUCAGUGGAGUGCAGGAAAUGAAAAAUUAGAGCGGAAUGAAACCAGAAAUCUUUGAGAAACAUGGCUCUGGCUCUGCUGUGGGCAAGAGCCUUUGCUGGAGGAAAUAUACUGUUCCAGUUAUAUCACAUCCAGUUCCAAGAGGUUAAAACGUAAUAACAUUUAUAAAGAAGAGAUCUGACUACACAGAAUGCCACAUAGCCAACGCCACAGGAAAUAGACCUGCUGAAAGAUCGAGUUACCAGUUUUCCAUCUCUCUCACCUGUUUUAGUCUCUUGACCUCCUGUUCCAGCUCACUCUCACGUGUUCGAGUGC